Molecule: transfer RNA, 90 nt
Filed under: Bifidobacterium panos
Lineage: Bacteria; Bacillati; Actinomycetota; Actinomycetes; Bifidobacteriales; Bifidobacteriaceae
Description: tRNA-Ser
Rfam family: tRNA
About the family: Transfer RNA (tRNA) molecules are approximately 80 nucleotides in length.
Source: RNAcentral
GGAGUCAUGCCUGAGCGGCCGAAAGGGGCACCCUGCUAAGGUGUUAACUGCGCAAGCGGUUCGAGGGUUCGAAUCCCUCUGACUCCGCGA